RNAcentral lists this ribosomal RNA (494 nucleotides) under uncultured bacterium. Its description in RNAcentral is "partial 16S ribosomal RNA". It matches the Rfam family "Bacterial small subunit ribosomal RNA", at positions 31 to 507 of the family's 1533-position model. The record is from RNAcentral.
GAACGCUGGCGGCGUGCCUAAUACCUGCAAGUCGAGCGAACGGACGAGAAGCUUGCUUCUCUGAUGUUAGCGGCGGACGGGUGAGUAACACGUGGAUAACCUACCUAUAAGACUGGGAUAACUUCGGGAAACCGGAGCUAAUACCGGAUGAUAUUUUGAACCGCAUGGUUCAAAAGUGAAAGACGGUCUUGCUGUCACUUAUAGAUGGAUCCGCGCUGCAUUAGCUAGUUGGUAAGGUAACGGCUUACCAAGGCAACGAUGCAUAGCCGACCUGAGAGGGUGAUCGGCCACACUGGAACUGAGACACGGUCCAGACUCCUACGGGAGGCAGCAGUAGGGAAUCUUCCGCAAAGGGCGAAAGCCUGACGGAGCAACGCCGCGUGAGUGAUGAAGGUCUUCGGAUCGUAAAACUCUGUUAUUAGGGAAGAACAUAUGUGUAAGUAACUGUGCACAUCUUGACGGUACCUAAUCAGAAAGCCACGGCUAACUACGUG